This 73-nucleotide transfer RNA is filed under the name Camelus bactrianus (Bactrian camel). It matches the Rfam family "tRNA". From Rfam's summary of the family: Transfer RNA (tRNA) molecules are approximately 80 nucleotides in length. Their secondary structure includes four short double-helical elements and three loops (D, anti-codon, and T loops). Lineage: Eukaryota; Metazoa; Chordata; Mammalia; Artiodactyla; Camelidae. RNAcentral also lists the same sequence under 2 other names. The record is from Rfam by way of RNAcentral.
GGUGCUAUAACUCAGUGGUAGAGUGCAUGCUUAGCAUGCAUGAGGUCCUGGGUUCAAGUUUAGAGUAGCUCCU